AGUGAACGCUGGCGGUAGGCCUAACACAUGCAAGUCGAACGGCAGCACAGUAAGAGCUUGCUCUUACGGGUGGCGAGUGGCGGACGGGUGAGGAAUACAUCGGAAUCUACUUUUUCGUGGGGGAUAACGUAGGGAAACUUACGCUAAUACCGCAUACGACCUACGGGUGAAAGCAGGGGAUCUUCGGACCUUGCGCGAUUGAAUGAGCCGAUGUCGGAUUAGCUAGUUGGCGGGGUAAAGGCCCACCAAGGCGACGAUCCGUAGCUGGUCUGAGAGGAUGAUCAGCCACUCUGGAACUGAGACACGGUCCAGACUCCUACGGGAGGCAGCGGUGGGGAAUAUUGGACAAUGGGCGCAAGCCUGAUCCAGCCAUACCGCGUGGGUGAAGAAGGCCUUCGGGUUGUAAAGCCCUUUUGUUGGGAAAGAAAAGCAGCAGGUUAAUACCCCGCUGUUCUGACGGUACCCAAAGAAUAAGCACCGGCUACCUUCGU
This 491-nucleotide ribosomal RNA is filed under the name uncultured bacterium. RNAcentral describes it as "partial 16S ribosomal RNA". It matches the Rfam family "Bacterial small subunit ribosomal RNA", at positions 29 to 506 of the family's 1533-position model. The record is from RNAcentral.